Molecule: small nucleolar RNA, 109 nt
Organism: Arachis duranensis
Lineage: Eukaryota; Viridiplantae; Streptophyta; Magnoliopsida; Fabales; Fabaceae
Source: RefSeq, a predicted model, not a curated record
AGAUUAUGUCGGGAGGGCAUCUCCUGAUCAACUACUUGUACCUCUCUCAGGCCUCAUAGAGGGACUCUCCCUCUUUCUGUCUGAAAGUCUGGACUUCAACUCUAAGCUU